Molecule: ribosomal RNA, 165 nt
Filed under: uncultured bacterium
Lineage: Bacteria
Description: partial 16S rRNA
Rfam family: Bacterial small subunit ribosomal RNA
Source: RNAcentral
UAAGGGAAUCUUCCACAAUGGACGCAAGUCUGAUGGAGCAACGCCGCGUGAGUGAAGAAGGGUUUCGGCUUGUAAAGCUCUGUUGUUAAAGAAGAACGUGGGUAAGAGUAACUGUUUACCCAGUGACGGUAUUUAACCAGAAAGCCACGGCUAACUACGUGCCUG